This 498-nucleotide ribosomal RNA is filed under the name uncultured bacterium. Its description in RNAcentral is "partial 16S ribosomal RNA". It matches the Rfam family "Bacterial small subunit ribosomal RNA", at positions 28 to 507 of the family's 1533-position model. The record is from RNAcentral.
GAUGAACGCUGGCGGCGUGCCUAAUACAUGCAAGUCGAGCGAACAGACGAGGAGCUUGCUCCUCUGAUGUUAGCGGCGGACGGGUGAGUAACACGUGGAUAACCUACCUAUAAGACUGGGAUAACUUCGGGAAACCGGAGCUAAUACCGGAUAACAUGUUGAACCGCAUGGUUCAACAGUGAAAGACGGUCUUGCUGUCACUUAUAGAUGGAUCCGCGCCGCAUUAGCUAGUUGGUAAGGUAACGGCUUACCAAGGCAACGAUGCGUAGCCGACCUGAGAGGGUGAUCGGCCACACUGGAACUGAGACACGGUCCAGACUCCUACGGGAGGCAGCAGUAGGGAAUCUUCCGCAAUGGGCGAAAGCCUGACGGAGCAAACGCCGCGUGAGUGAAGAAGGUCUUCGGAUCGUAAAACUCUGUUAUUAGGGAAGAACAAAUGUGUAAGUAACUAUGCACGUCUUGACGGUACCUAAUCAGAAAGCCACGGCUAACUACGUG